UUGAACGCUGGCGGCAUGCUUUACACAUGCAAGUCGAGCGGCAGCGCGGGGGCAACCCUGGCGGCGAGCGGCGAACGGGUGAGGAAUGCAUCGGAACGUGCCGGGAGUGGGGGAUAACGCCGCGAAAGCGGCGCUAAUACCGCAUAUUCUCUGUGGAGGAAAGUGGGGGACCGCAAGGCCUCACGCUUUCGGAGCGGCCGAUGUCGGAUUAGCUUGUUGGUGGGGUAAAGGCUUACCAAGGCGACGAUCCGUAGCUGGUCUGAGAGGAUGAUCAGCCACACUGGGACUGAGACACGGCCCAGACUCCUACGGGAGGCAGCAGUGGGGAAUUUUGGACAAUGGGGGCAACCCUGAUCCAGCCAUGCCGCGUGCGGGAAGAAGGCCUUCGGGUUGUAAACCGCUUUUAGUCGGGAAGAAAAGGCAAGGGUUAACACCUCUUGUUCUUGACGGUACCGACGGAAUAAGCACCGGCUAACUACGUG
This 482-nucleotide ribosomal RNA is filed under the name uncultured bacterium. Its description in RNAcentral is "bacterial SSU rRNA". It matches the Rfam family "Bacterial small subunit ribosomal RNA", at positions 29 to 507 of the family's 1533-position model. The record is from RNAcentral.